RNAcentral lists this ribosomal RNA (444 nucleotides) under uncultured bacterium. RNAcentral's name for it is "SSU rRNA". It matches the Rfam family "Bacterial small subunit ribosomal RNA", at positions 26 to 518 of the family's 1533-position model. The record is from RNAcentral.
AGAACGAACGCUGGCGGCAUGCCUAACACAUGCAAGUCGAACGAGACCUUCGGGUCUAGUGGCGCACGGGUGCGUAACGCGUGGGAAUCUGCCCUUAGGUACGGAAUAACAGUGAGAAAUUACUGCUAAUACCGUAUGAUGUCUUCGGACCAAAGAUUUAUCGCCUAGGGAUGAGCCCGCGUAGGAUUAGCUAGUUGGUGGGGUAAAGGCCUACCAAGGCGACGAUCCUUAGCUGGUCUGAGAGGAUGAUCAGCCACACUGGGACUGAGACACGGCCCAGACUCCUACGGGAGGCAGCAGUGGGGAAUAUUGGACAAUGGGCGAAAGCCUGAUCCAGCAAUGCCGCGUGAGUGAAGAAGGCCUUCGGGUUGUAAAGCUCUUUACCCGGGAAGAUAAUGACUGUACCGGGAGAAUAAGCCCGGCUAACUCCGCGCCAGCAGCCGC